GUUUUUGUAGAUCUGUUUUGCUUUCAAGAGCUCGAUUUUCAAGUCUUUGGUGACUGCCUGAAAGUCAGUAACAGCCCCCUCUUUAAAAGCCUGUCUCUUUUUCCUUGAACAGGAUUUGAUGCAUUUGGUGACCCAUGGCUUAUUGUUAGGGUACACUUUAGCACGCUUAAGGGGUAUAAUCAUGUCUUUACAAAAACUGCAUAUGAGCUAACAUCCACCAAAGCAUCAAGACUGAAUAAAAACUUCCCAAUCUGUAAAUUUAAAACAUUCCUGCAAGGUAAGCACAGAUUCUUCUGACCACAUGAUUGAUUGAUGAUAACAUAAUUUUUUCACCCCCCAAAAAUUCACGUUCAAAGCAACAUAUCAGCCCGAUAUCACACAGAACUGUCACAUGACAUCAAACACAAGCUUUCAGCUCUGCAGAGUGGGCAAUCAUAAUGAAGCAGUUCAUUAUAAGCUGCAGACUCAAGCUGCUCUUCAUAUAUUUGUCCACCAGAUGUCACCAAAGAGGACUGUGAUGAAAGCUUCGAGUAAUGAACCGUUUUUCAUUACAAGCUUGGCCAACUGACUACAAUCUACAAUAAACUAAUAUGGCUUUUCAAUCCUCUCUUCAAUCACUUGGUACCACCAGGAACCUUUAAAUGGGCACUCGAGCUGCCUGGAGACUGUUUUGUCGUGCACAUCAGAGAAACCACAGGCAAACAUUAAACAGCAGCAGCUGGAAAACUGGAAAACCUAAAGCCAAAUAAUCAAUAAAACACAACAAACUUUUGUAUGACCAGGCAGAAACAUCUCACAGCAGCUGGAAAAACCAGUGAGCACACUUUAGAGGAAAAAAGUGAAAGUUUAUGUUCAACUGUAAAAUAUUCUCUGUAAUGUAAAUUGUUCUGCUCUCUGACAAACCAUCAGAGGUGCAGCACGUGUAUCAUUUGGUGUUUGAAGCAGAAACAAAAGCAAAGAGUUAAAGGAAGACACAUUUGAAGAAGAAGGAAAAUGAAAACAAGACGUCACUGAGCAACAACCUGACAGAACGAGAGCAAACAGUUUACUAUCAGAACUGAGGCUGAUCAUUAACAGGGAGCAGCAGGUAACAAGGUCAUCAGCAGUGGAGGAAAGUAUGGAAGUAAUACUCAGCUUCAUAUUUGAAGAUACUCGAGUAUCUUAGCUGCAGGUCUGGAACAAUGGUUUUAUUUCCUUUCCCAUUAAACAUCUCACACAGCCCCUCAUCUGUGACCCUUAGCAAACCCACUGGAUAUCUACCUGCACAUAAAGGAGAUCAGAUCAGUUCCAUCUAGACCAGCUGUAACAGGAAAAUGCUGCUUACACUUUGAUGCAUCACUUUCAGUUUGUCAUAUAAGACAAUAUAUCAGAUUGAGGCAUUAUUUUCCUGCAGUGAGUAAAUCUACUUUGUACUUUACUCUUUUCUUUUAGGUAAAGGCUCUAAACAGUACUUGUACACUGUGGAAAUCCCAUAAGAACGUCUCCUGAACUCUGAAAAAUAACAAAACAAAGACUAAAAGGAGGUCAUGGGUGCUGCUGCUGAUGAUGAUGAUGAGGAGGAGUAGCAUGCAUUUAAAAAGUGACUGAUGUCCUAGAAUACAACAGAACAGUGUCUCUACAAACUUAUGAAAACAUGACAGUCUUGCAUUAGUUUGUAUUCUUAUGAUUUCAAAAAACGAGGGAAAAAUCUCCUUGAAAUGCACAAUUCCUUUUUGUUAUUUCUUAGUGUGUGACGUAUUUUAUUGGCUUUAUGAUUGGUGCAAACAGUUUCCUGAUUCAUAAUGGAAAUAGAUUUUAGACACAGGAGGAACACGCAGUGAUCAGCAGGAGCAGCUUGGAGUCCAGUCUUCUUCACACUGAGGAGGGACAUAUAUGCAGGAACAGUUGUCAUAACUGUUACAACCACCAGAUGGCGAAAGAGUCCCACUGCAACUUUAAGCCAUGAAGGAUGUGUCUUGAUGUUUGCUUGUGAUAAAUCUGCUUUAUGUGAGUCUUUUUCAGAGAGUAACAGUAAUAUGUCUGAUUAUAUGUCUUUAAUCAGUAAAGUCUCGCUUUGCUAGAAAUAAAUCAAUAAAUAAUAAAAUUGUAAACAUGCAGCUGUAUGUUAGAAGUCAAAGGGUCCUUAAGUCUUCUGUAAAUUGACGGGGA
Molecule: long non-coding RNA, 2148 nt
Organism: Astatotilapia calliptera (eastern happy)
Lineage: Eukaryota; Metazoa; Chordata; Actinopteri; Cichliformes; Cichlidae
Source: Ensembl